CACAUCCCCAGAGGCAAGGGAAUCAAAAACAAAAAAGAGAAGUCAGGAGGUAGAAAUGCAUUUUACCUGCCCUGGAAUUCAUUUAAGAAGAAUACUGUGUACAAGAGACCAGUUUGAGUGAGGAGGCUAAUGACAAAUGAGCAUUUGUCCAGCAAGCAGGGUCUCCUGCUGGUGUGGUUGAUGCAGGAGCAGAAUGGGAGUUUGGAGAACCUGGAGCCUAUAAGGAAGGAUUUCACCAGGCAAGAUUGACAUGGAGCUUUCACUUUGUUUUACCCCAGUUUUG
Long non-coding RNA from Suricata suricatta (meerkat), 283 nucleotides. RefSeq lists it as uncharacterized. NCBI's taxonomy places the organism in Eukaryota, Metazoa, Chordata, Mammalia, Carnivora, Herpestidae. The record is from RefSeq and is a predicted model, not a curated record. The transcript has 3 exons.